GAUGAAGAACGUAGCGAAAUGCGAUAAGUAAUGUGAAUUGCAGAAUUCAGUGAAUCAUCGAAUCUUUGAACGCAUCUUGCGCUCCUUGGUAUUCCUUGGAGCAUGCCUGUUUGAGUAUCAUGAGCAAAUCUCAAAGUCAAUUCCUUUUGUUAAUUCAAUUGGUUUUGCUUUGGACUUGGAGGUCUUGCAGAUUUCACAGUCUGCUCCUCUUAAAUCCAUUAGCUGGAUCUCAGUAAUUAUGCUUGGUUCCACUCGGCGUGAUAAGUAUCACUCGCUGAGGACACUGUUAAAAAGGUGGCCAGGAAAAUACUGAUUGAACCGCUUCUAACGGUCUAUUAAGUUAGACAAUUGACCCCUUAAGUUUGAUCUCAAAUCGGGUAGGACUACCCGCUGAACUUAAGCAUAUCAAUAAGCGGAGGA
This 420-nucleotide unclassified non-coding RNA is filed under the name soil metagenome. Its description in RNAcentral is "partial contains 5.8S ribosomal RNA, internal transcribed spacer 2, and large subunit ribosomal RNA". The stretch from base 1 to 120 matches the Rfam family "5.8S ribosomal RNA", at positions 35 to 154 of the family's 154-position model. The record is from RNAcentral.